AUUGAACGCUGGCGGCAUGCUUUACACAUGCAAGUCGAACGGUAACAGGUCUUCGGAUGCUGACGAGUGGCGAACGGGUGAGUAAUGCAUCGGAACGUGCCCAGUCGUGGGGGAUAACGCAGCGAAAGCUGUGCUAAUACCGCAUACGAUCUAUGGAUGAAAGCGGGGGAUCGCAAGACCUCGCGCGAUUGGAGCGGCCGAUGUCAGAUUAGCUAGUUGGUGGGGUAAAGGCCCACCAAGGCGACGAUCUGUAGCUGGUCUGAGAGGACGACCAGCCACACUGGGACUGAGACACGGCCCAGACUCCUACGGGAGGCAGCAGUGGGGAAUUUUGGACAAUGGGCGCAAGCCUGAUCCAGCAAUGCCGCGUGCAGGAAGAAGGCCUUCGGGUUGUAAACUGCUUCUGUACGGAACGAAAAGGUCUGGGUUAAUACCCUGGGCUCAUGACGGUACCGUAAGAAUAAGCACCGGCUAACUACGUG
This 482-nucleotide ribosomal RNA is filed under the name uncultured bacterium. RNAcentral describes it as "bacterial SSU rRNA". It matches the Rfam family "Bacterial small subunit ribosomal RNA", at positions 30 to 507 of the family's 1533-position model. The record is from RNAcentral.